Molecule: long non-coding RNA, 829 nt
Filed under: Neodiprion lecontei (redheaded pine sawfly)
Lineage: Eukaryota; Metazoa; Arthropoda; Insecta; Hymenoptera; Diprionidae
Description: uncharacterized LOC124295138, transcript variant X4
Source: RNAcentral
GAGGAGGACGAGGAGGACGAGGAUUUGUGCUCGUAUUUGACAACAGUGAUACCUUAUCACAUGGACAGUGGCCCACCUGAUAAUCAAGCUUUACAAGUCCUCAUUAAGAUAUUAAAGGCUAUUAAUGAGGAUAGUCCAACGGUGCCCACAUUAUCAACGGACUACAUAUUGAAAGAUCUGUGCCCCACCUAGUGAUCCACUAGUACAUAUCCUCCGACGUGACAUCGCUCCGCUACGUAUGCAGAAGAAAAGAUUUAUUAAGAUGCAGAUUGCUCCUCUCUUCUUGCCAUUGUGCUUUCAGCCAUUGUUGUGCUGUGUGUUUAAAAUUUAGGACAGUAUAUAAGAUAGAAUAACAUGUACAUCUACGAAUAUAGCACUGCAAUCAAUCUUAUAUAAAUGAGCUCUCAUUGAGAUUUCUCUGUAUUUAUAACUCGACGCGAGAAGGCAAAAAUCAAUGUAAUGCCAUCUGUAAGGUAAUUGGACUCGUAUUUGCACUACGAGAACUCUUUGGGCAUUUUGCGGUGAAGUUUGAAAAAUUGUUGUAGAAGAAAUUAAAUAACUAUAAAAAUGGAUAAAAAAUAUUAUCUCUAAUAGUAAAUGUAGCUAAUACAGCUUUAACCGUAUAUCGAUUAUGUUAACGAUCUAUUGUGACAAGAUCGGAAUUAGAUAAGCUCUCUAAAUACCCUUUUCUAGUCUAUUAACUUAUAUCAUGUAUAUGUAAAUGUAUAUUUCUUCAGUUUAUACAAUCACUGCACUAGGAUUACCCUUGCCAUGUUUUAUGGUGCGCUUGUGUAAUUUCUAUAUUAUUAAUCUUACGCUUUACUCUAUU